RNAcentral lists this ribosomal RNA (450 nucleotides) under uncultured bacterium. Its description in RNAcentral is "partial 16S ribosomal RNA". It matches the Rfam family "Bacterial small subunit ribosomal RNA", at positions 354 to 796 of the family's 1533-position model. The record is from RNAcentral.
GUGGGGAAUUUUGGACAAUGGGCGCAAGCCUGAUCCAGCCAUUCCGCGUGCAGGAUGAAGGCCUUCGGGUUGUAAACUGCUUUUGUACGGAACGAAAAGCCUCUGGUUAAUACCCGGGGGUCAUGACGGUACCGUAAGAAUAAGCACCGGCUAACUACGUGCCAGCAGCCGCGGUAAUACGUAGGGUGCGAGCGUUAAUCGGAAUUACUGGGCGUAAAGCGUGCGCAAGCGGGGAUGUAAGACAGUUGUGAAAUCCCCGGGCUCAACCUGGGAACUGCAUCUGUGACUGCAUUGCUGGAGUGCGGCAGAGGGGGAUGGAAUUCCGCGUGUAGCAGUGAAAUGCGUAGAUAUGCGGAGGAACACCGAUGGCGAAGGCAAUCCCCUGGGCCUGCACUGACGCUCAUGCACGAAAGCGUGGGGAGCAAACAGGAUUAGAAACCCGGGUAGUCC